RNAcentral lists this ribosomal RNA (229 nucleotides) under uncultured bacterium. Its description in RNAcentral is "partial 16S ribosomal RNA". It matches the Rfam family "Bacterial small subunit ribosomal RNA", at positions 568 to 796 of the family's 1533-position model. The record is from RNAcentral.
UACGUAGGCGGAAGAUUAAGUCAGUGGUGAAAUCCUGCAGCUUAACUGUAGAACUGUCAUUGAUACUGGUUUUCUUGAAUUUAGUUGAGGUAGGCGGAAUGUGUAAUGUAGCGGUGAAAUGCUUAGAUAUUACACAGAACACCGGUUGCGAAGGCAGCUUACUAAACUAUGAUUGACGCUGAGGUACGAAAGCGUGGGGAGCGAACAGGAUUAGAUACCCUGGUAGUCC